Molecule: long non-coding RNA, 1088 nt
Filed under: Junco hyemalis (dark-eyed junco)
Lineage: Eukaryota; Metazoa; Chordata; Aves; Passeriformes; Passerellidae
Description: lncRNA (ENSJHYG00000011301.1)
Source: RNAcentral
UAAACACACAGCAUGCAUGAUAGCACUUGGAAAGCACAAGAUCACCGCCAUCAUCAAGCAAUGAAGAAUGAGCAGUGAUGCUGAUGAGACACAUCCACUUUACCCAGGGGUUUCUAGCAGCCUGGCUUUACAGUGUGCCACACGUCCUGCAAGUCGUUGGUGCAGCCCAUACAAUGAGCAGAUUUUGUGGCUAAUUGUGAAGAAAACCAUUUUUGGAAUGCCUGGGCAGUACAAGCGUGAAUCACAGCAGCAAGCCACUGCUUCUGUCUCCCAACAUGUAUCAUGGAACUAUUUUCUUCCAUCCCUUUUGUAGUACAGUACAUUCUACAUAAUGAAUCAUUUUCAUGCAGAAAUAGAAACAAGUGAUGACUAUGUUCACUUCACAACAGAGAAGAAAGGACUGGCAUCCCAUAAUUAAAUUUCCAGGUUUAGUGACAUUGUAACCAAUCGCUGCACACAUGGCCUUGAGUGUCAGGUGUAGGGAGGUUAAUAGACCCCUAACACAUGUUUCCUAACAAAAUAUGAUUUUUUAAAAUGUCAAAUUCUGGUCCUUGGGGAAGAUCCAAAGUAACACAUUGAUGUUUAGUGCCAUUUUGGAUGUUGUAACACUGAUAAUGCCAUACCUAAAAGCAAAAUGAAAUGCUGCUGUUCACGACAUGGAGCUACGUGCCUACCAUCCCUCUGAAGGGAAUGAGGGGAACAAAGCACCUGGGAAUUGGAUGUACAAUCUACAGCAUUCUGGGGUGUGGGAGGUGAGAGGUUUGUUCAGGCACUUUGUUCAUCUCUUCCAUCAAUCCUAUGUCACACAUGGAUGCUGCUGAGCUGUGUCUCCCAGACAUGAGCUGCUUGGAGCCAGGAGUUCUCAGGAGUAAAGGACCAAACCUGACCUAGUAACCCUGCUGGGAGGCUGGGAAUAUUUACUCACACUUACUGCCCUCCUAACAUGGCUGCUCAGGUUCUCUCCAGUCUGCAGCACUCACCUGCUUGGGAUGUGGGCAGGCAAUGCCUAAUCCUUCCUGCAGAAGAUCCCACAGGGAUUCCCUUAGGUGCCGAGCUCAGCCCACAAUAAAUAUCCAUUUUGUGGAGCA